GCACUGCCGAGGAGUCCCACAAUAGGACGAAACGGGUGUCCAGUGC
RNAcentral lists this non-coding RNA (46 nucleotides) under Schistosoma margrebowiei. The record is from RNAcentral. Lineage: Eukaryota; Metazoa; Platyhelminthes; Trematoda; Strigeidida; Schistosomatidae.